CCUACGGGUGGCAGCAGUGAGGAAUAUUGGUCAAUGGACGCAAGUCUGAACCAGCCAUGCCGCGUGCAGGAAGACGGCUCUAUGAGUUGUAAACUGCUUUUAAGGGGGAAGAGCAGAAGACGGUACCCCUUGAAUAAGCCACGGCUAACUACGUGCCAGCAGCCGCGGUAAUACGUAGGUGGCAAGCGUUGUCCGGAUUUACUGGGUGUAAAGGGCGUGCAGCCGGAGAGACAAGUCAGAUGUGAAAUCCACGGGCUCAACCCGUGAACUGCAUUUGAAACUGUUUCCCUUGAGUGUCGGAGAGGUAAUCGGAAUUCCUGGUGUAGCGGUGAAAUGCGUAGAUAUAAGGAAGAACACCAGUGGCGAAGGCGGAUUACUGGACGAUAACUGACGGUGAGGCGCGAAAGCGUGGGGAGCAAACAGGAUUAGAUACCCUUGUAGUC
Molecule: ribosomal RNA, 443 nt
Filed under: uncultured bacterium
Lineage: Bacteria
Description: partial 16S ribosomal RNA
Rfam family: Bacterial small subunit ribosomal RNA
Source: RNAcentral